This 248-nucleotide long non-coding RNA is filed under the name Elaeis guineensis (African oil palm). RNAcentral's name for it is "long non-coding RNA (EGUI_LNC058874)". Lineage: Eukaryota; Viridiplantae; Streptophyta; Magnoliopsida; Arecales; Arecaceae. The record is from RNAcentral.
UAUGAGGAGGUAGUGGUGUAAAAGAUUAGAUAAGACUCACUCUUGUAUUUUUUUCUCACAAAUCCUAAAGUUGAAACCCUAGAACCCAUAGCUCACACCUGAGAGGAAGAACACUUCCUUUGUUUCUCAUGCAUGGAAGCCCAACCCACUCUCAACUUUUCACAUUCCUACUCUCAAGUUUCUCAUGCCAAAAAUUACUUUUAAUCUCAUACAAAACUGAUCCCCUUUUAAGGUUGGCAUCCCAUACA